AUGCUAGACUACUUCGCGAACAAUCCAACAUAUCCGCCGCACCUCUUCCGGAGAAGGUACCGAAUGCGCUGAUCCCUCUUUGUAAAACUAGUGCGAGCUUGCGAGGCCAAUUGUCGGUAUUUUACACAAAGAAGAGAUGUCGCGGGCUUGAAGGGAUUUAGUGCAUAUCAAAAAAUCUCGGUAGCUAUGUGGGUAAUUGCAUACGGCAUUCCGGCUGACUAUGUCGAUGAGUACCUUCGCAUUGGUAAAAAAAAGAGUCAGGGCGUAGGUUUGUCAAAGUGA
RNAcentral lists this ribosomal RNA (282 nucleotides) under Triticum aestivum (bread wheat). RNAcentral describes it as "partial small subunit ribosomal RNA". Lineage: Eukaryota; Viridiplantae; Streptophyta; Magnoliopsida; Poales; Poaceae. The record is from RNAcentral.